AUUGAACGCUGGCGGCAUGCCUUACACAUGCAAGUCGAACGGCAGCACGGGUGCUUGCACCUGGUGGCGAGUGGCGAACGGGUGAGUAAUACAUCGGAACAUGUCCUGUAGUGGGGGAUAGCCCGGCGAAAGCCGGAUUAAUACCGCAUACGAUCUACGGAUGACAGCGGGGGACCUUCGGGCCUCGCGCUAUAGGGUUGGCCGAUGGCUGAUUAGCUAGUUGGUGGGGUAAAGGCCUACCAAGACGACGAUCAGUAGCUGGUCUGAGAGGACGACCAGCCACACGGGGACUGAGACACGGCCCAGACUCCUACGGGAGGCAGCAGUGGGGAAUUUUGGGCAAUGGGCGAAAGCCUGAUCCAGCAAUGCCGCGUGUGUGAAGAAGGCCUUCGGGUUGUAAAGCACUUUUGUCCGGAAAGAAAUCCUUGGCCCUAAUACGGUCGGGGGAUGACGGUACCGGAAGAAUAAGCACCGGCUAACUACGUG
This 486-nucleotide ribosomal RNA is filed under the name uncultured bacterium. RNAcentral's name for it is "partial 16S ribosomal RNA". It matches the Rfam family "Bacterial small subunit ribosomal RNA", at positions 30 to 507 of the family's 1533-position model. The record is from RNAcentral.